RNAcentral lists this long non-coding RNA (4167 nucleotides) under Homo sapiens (human). RNAcentral's name for it is "novel transcript". Lineage: Eukaryota; Metazoa; Chordata; Mammalia; Primates; Hominidae. The record is from RNAcentral.
GAGCUGCCGGAGCGUGCGCACUGGGCCAGCGGGCGGCCGGGGCAGGGCUGGGGUCCCGGCGCUGAGCGCCCCCAGCCGCGCCGGGCAGCCUGGCGCCUCGCUGAGUCGGAGCAACCCCCGGCAGGAGCUUUCAGGCUCUGGUCAAGCCUCGGGACCCGGGAAGCUAUCCCUGCCCUCGGGGGCUCGAGCCUGGAGUGGGGCUUGCAGAAAAGGAAAGGGGGCUGGCCUAAAGGCAAGAAGAGAAACCCCCCGAGGGACCUUGCUGUUCCGUGUUCCUACGACAGGGUACAUGAUAUUCCUGAAUGAGCAGAGAAGUCAGCUGAGGGCCACACACCCCGAUCUGCCUUUCACAGAAAUCAUGAAGAUGCUGGCUGUUCAGUGGGCCCAGCUGUCUCAGGAUAAAAAGGGGGAGAUGAACUCAAUGACCUCUACUGCGGGACCUCCAGGCAGCUCUUCAGCUCCCUGUGCAACAAGAAGGAACCUGCUGCAAAGGCAGCACCUGCAGCGCCUCUCAGGUAACCAGCCUGGGCCAGGCGGCUCAGCCGCAAACGCUGGCCUUGACUCCACCUGCGCCAGAGGUCACCAACAGGCGGCCCACGUGACACCUCUUGUUAUUAAAAUGCAAUUUUAAGACAGACUCUAGUCAAGCCCACUUACCACCAGGUGGGUGUUUAGGACAGGGUAGGUCUUCCACUAUAUCUGUUUUCCUCUUAGUUCGCCAGGCCCGCCUGCUCUGGGCCACGCAGGACACGGACGUCAGCUUCUCCUGGAGCGCUCGCUCACUUUAUUCCAUCUCUACGAGCUCCUCAAGUAUCCCAGAGCAUCCCCAGGCCUGUGGCCACCUCGGGUCUGGAUGCCGCAUUCUCUGACCUGUGGCACAUUCUGGGUGCCCAUGAUUAUGAUGAGGUUCUGUGCCCAUGUGGCCUCAGGGCUCUUGAGACCACCCUUCAACCAGGUCUUUGCUCACCUGUCUCCUGCCCAGGGACGCCACCCAGGUCACCGGUGCAAACCUCCAGCCCCUGCCCGUUUCUCUCCAUGAGUGCAUUGCCACCUCGCAGCCUCUUCCACUUGCUCAUUCCUGGUGUUAUUGCCUGUCUCCCACUGGAAGAGAAGGCCCUCAAGUUCAGCAACUGUUUUGCCUGUUUUGUUCACUGUGGUGAACCCCGGGCCUAGAACCACGCCUGGCACUCCCAGUAGGUGCUCAAUAAGUAUCCAAUGAGUGGACAAAUGAAUGGAUGUGUUCAACAAAUGACCCUAGAGCGUGUAUUCCUUCCAGGGACAGAGCGAGGUACUGGGGACACAGGAAGGACGAGGCAGAGCUCCGCGCUGACGAAACCAAGGGCCAAGCGUGCGAGUGAAUACGAACAUCCUGGCGUUAAAACGUCUUGCAUUCUAGUGAAAUGAGACCCAUUGGACACAGAGAAGCCCCACCACAAUUGCAUCUGUGUAAAAUCGAGAGAAAGAUCGUGAAAACAGCCAUGGCAGGGGAAUUUAAAAAAGAUCCUGCCACGUACUCAUAGCACCUGGAGCCUCUGGAGGAAGAGGAGGGACAAAUGAGGUCAAGUCAGAGGAGGAAGCUGAGGGCCCCGAGUCCCUUCUGCUCAGAUGUCCGCAUCCAGAGAGGAGUUCUGCUUCUCUCAACCUGUGUUUCUUGCAAGAGUUUAUCUAUAAAUUGCUGAAAAAUGGGUAAUCAAGUUCAGCAACUCCCUGGCAUCUGUGAUGACCUAUGGUUUGUAAUCCUAGUCAGAAUCACCUACAUAGAGGAUAUAAUAUUAAUCAGAACAAAACAGAAAAGUCGCUAGAGGAAUAACAAUAGUAAAAUUUACAAUCAGAUGAAGAAUAAAGUUUUCAAUGAGGCACAGUUCUAAGCACUUCAUACAAAUAACCUGUCUUAAUUCUCAUAAAAGUACUGCAAGGCAGGUGAUAAUAUCAUCUCCUUCUAAAGAUAAAAUGCAGCACAGAGAGGUUAAGUAACUUGUCCAAUGUUGAACAGCUAGUGAGUGGUCAAUCUGAGAUUUAAAUCCAGGCUGUCUGGGUCCAAGAACUCUGUUCUUCACUACUUCUCAACAACAUCAACUAUGUAAAAUGACACACAUACAUAAACCCACAUCAAUGGUAAUGGUGGUAAUCUCUGGCCGGCAAGAUGAAAGAAGAUGUUAUGCAAUUCUUCAGUCCUUUCUGUGUCUGCCACAUUUUCCCCAAUGGAUAGAUGUCACUUAAAUUAUCAGAGGAAGAAACAAACUCUAUUAAAAGGAAUUUCAAGGGCCGGGCAAGAUGGAUCACACCUGUAAUCCCAGCACUUUGGGAGGCCGAGGUGGGCGGAUCACCUGAGGUCAGCAGUUCGAGACCAGCCUGGCCAACAUGGCGAAACCCUGUCUCUACUAAACAUACAAAAAAAUUAGCCGGGCGUGGUGGCACAUGCCUGUAAUCCCAACUACUUGGGAGGCUGAGGCAGGAGAAUCACUUGAAUCUGGGAGGUGGAGGUUGCAGUGAGCCAAGAUCGCACCACUGCACUCAAGCCUGGGCGACAGAGCAAGGCUUCAUCUCAAAAAAAUAAAAUAAAAUAAAAUUAUUGUUUUAUUCUGCUUAUAAAAUUAGCAUAUUCAUUGAAGCUAGGCACAGUGGCUCCUGCCUGUAAUCGCAGCCCUUUGGGAGACCAGGGCGGGUAGAUCACUUGAGGCCAGGAGUUCGAGACCAGCCUGGCCAACAUGGUGAAACCCCGUCUCUAAUGAAAAUACAAAAAUUAGCUGGGUUUGGUGGCAGGCACCUGUAAUCCCAGCUACUCAGGAGGCUGAGGCACGAGAAUCGCUUGAACCCAAGAGGCGGAUGUUGCAGUGAGCUGAGGUUGCACCACUGCACUCCAACCUGGGUGACAGAGCGAGACUCUGUCUCAAAAUAAAUAAAAUAAAAUAAACAUAUUAAUUGAAGAAAAUUUUGAAAUUUCAGAAAAGUAUAUGAAGAAAAUGUAAACACUAUCAGUAGAGAAGUGUUGUUAGCAUUUCAGUGCAGUGUUUCUAGUCUUAUUUUCUAUAAAUAUCUGAAUCUACCCGCCUAUUUCUCUAUCUCUCUACCUAAAUAUAUCUGCAUGUUAUUUGUAUAUCUGCAUAUUUAUCUUAUAUUUAUCUAAAUAAAUAUAUCUAACUAUAUCUCUAUAUAGAGAUAGAGAUAGAAAGAUGGAGAGAAAGAGAGAUAGAGAGAUGGACAUGAAGGUAAAAUCCGUCCUGCAGCUCCCAUUUGCAGAAGAGCGUGAGCAUUUUCACAUCUCCUUCAACGUUCUUUUAGGCAUCGCCCCUCCUGGCUGCAUAAUAUUUCAUCAUAUGCGUGAGCCGCACUGGCUGCCCAGUUCCUCACUGUGUCGUUGUUUGUUUGUUUGUUUGUUUUGAAACAGAGUCUCACUCUGUCGCCCAGGCUGGAGUACCGUGGCAUGAUCUUGGCUCACUGCAAACUCCGCCUCCUGAGUUCAAGUGAUUUCCGGCUAAUUUUUGUAUUUUUAGUCGGGAUGGGGUUUCACCACAUUAACCAGGCUGGUGUUGAACUUCUGACCUCAAGUGAUCCGCCCUCCUCGGCCUCCCAAAGUGCUAGGAUUACAGGCGUGAGCCACCGUGCCUGGCCAUUAUGACUGUACGUUUUGGUGACACCUGGUUCUUACGUUAGAAAUCAGGCUGCUGAACGUUCUGCUCUGUGUGUGUCUUUGUGCCCAUUCUUGUUGGCUUCCUUAGAGGGAUUUCUGGAAGUUCAAUGAUUAUGUAAAAAGCACAAGCCUUGCUGGGACCCUGGAGUGGCGUUGGAGUCUCUCGUGGUUAGGAGCCCAGGCCCUGGCCUGGCCAUCGGGGGCUGGAAUCCUGGCUGUGUCCUCCGUAGCCAUGUGCCCCAGGCAGCUUUCCUCACCGCCUGCCUGUCAUCCAGGGAUGCAGGUAGGUCCUGCUCCAUGGGGUUGUCAUGGCGAUCACAGAGACUUGUCCGUGUGGACCACCUAGAGCAGUACCUAGCAGGGCACCUGGCGCCCUGGGGUCACCUUGGAUCAGGGUUGCAGCUGACCCACUCCCAUCCCUCCCAAAGGCCCUUCAGCCCAGACUUUUGUGCACCCCAAAUUCCAUCAAAAUCCUUUUUCCUUUGAGAGUAACUUUAUUCAUUUCCCUGCAGCUUAUUAAAGAAUUCUGAAGAACA